Molecule: ribosomal RNA, 119 nt
Filed under: Salmo salar (Atlantic salmon)
Lineage: Eukaryota; Metazoa; Chordata; Actinopteri; Salmoniformes; Salmonidae
Source: RNAcentral
GCUGACGGCCAUAUCAGCCUGGGUACGCCCGAUCUCGUCUGAUCUCGGAAGCUAAGCAGGGUCGGGCCUGGUUAGUACUUGGAUGGGAGACCGCCUGGGAAUACCAGGUGCUGUAAGCA